GUCCCCGUCGACUAGCGGUUAGGUCACGGCCCUUUCAAGGCCGUAGCACGGGUUCGAUUCCCGUCGGGGACACCA
Molecule: transfer RNA, 75 nt
Filed under: Elusimicrobiota bacterium
Lineage: Bacteria; Pseudomonadati; Elusimicrobiota
Description: tRNA-Glu
Rfam family: tRNA
About the family: Transfer RNA (tRNA) molecules are approximately 80 nucleotides in length. Their secondary structure includes four short double-helical elements and three loops (D, anti-codon, and T loops).
Source: RNAcentral